GGCCUCUUUUCCAGGAUUCCAGGAUGGGGUUCUUUCUAAUAGGUUACCCCAGUAUGAUCUGGAGUUUUUAAAAAAAGUAAAAGCAGUUGAAGACCGCCCACUUGCUAUAAUUUGAAAGGCUUGUUCUCCCCUCCCUUCAUCUCUUUGAAUCCUGCUUCACAGACAUUGUUGUCUUUGGGACCAAUACAUUUCUUCUAUCUGCAUAUCUGGGUAGAAGCUCUCAUGGAAGAAAAAAGAAAAGCCCCAUAGGUGAAGGGGAGUGUGCCUGCCAAGUUCCUUGUAAUAACUUCACACGCAGAGUAUUUUAUGAAAUGAAUCUGCUGGAGUCAUCUCAUGGAAUCUUCUCAUUCUUCUGGAGUCUCCUCAUUUUACAGGAAAAACAUCCAGGCAAGUGGAAAGCAUUUGCAUCAGCCCAGCAAUAAGAAGGACCAUAUUCUACUUGGGAAAAGGUAAAGACGUUUCAUAUGGAUGGAGCCUGCCAGGAAACCUGUCAUUCAACCCUUUGCAAUAAAACAGCUCCUCAUGAAUGAAGCAAAAUAAAUCAGAAGUCGUGGGCUUUUAAAUUCACUAAAUGAAAGCCCAGCAUGCAUGCAGCCUCCCUCCAAAUUAAUCACCAGAUUAAAUGCAAGAUGUGCACACCAAAUCAAUAGCUUGUGACAGAGACCUCCUGCCUGUGCUUCAGGAAAAUUCCAUUUCCUUUCAGAUGUUGUAGCUUGAAAUGUCAGGAAGUUUCCAUUCAUCACCCGCCCUUGAAAAUGCCACCAUCACCAUGCUUCAUGUUUCCUUGCUUUCUUUCUUCAGAGGAAUCCAAGCACCUUGCAGAGGGAGCCCACUCAUUGUCACAG
RNAcentral lists this long non-coding RNA (845 nucleotides) under Pongo abelii (Sumatran orangutan). RNAcentral describes it as "lincRNA". Lineage: Eukaryota; Metazoa; Chordata; Mammalia; Primates; Hominidae. The record is from RNAcentral.